RNAcentral lists this ribosomal RNA (562 nucleotides) under Dichotomopilus funicola. RNAcentral's name for it is "eukaryotic LSU rRNA". It matches the Rfam family "Eukaryotic large subunit ribosomal RNA", at positions 50 to 624 of the family's 3401-position model. Lineage: Eukaryota; Fungi; Ascomycota; Sordariomycetes; Sordariales; Chaetomiaceae. The record is from RNAcentral.
UGGGAGGAAAAGAAACCAACAGGGAUUGCCCUAGUAACGGCGAGUGAAGCGGCAACAGCUCAAAUUUGAAAUCUGGCUUCGGCCCGAGUUGUAAUUUGCAGAGGAAGCUUUAGGCGCGGCACCUUCUGAGUCCCCUGGAACGGGGCGCCAUAGAGGGUGAGAGCCCCGUAUAGUUGGAUGCCUAGCCUGUGUAAAGCUCCUUCGACGAGUCGAGUAGUUUGGGAAUGCUGCUCAAAAUGGGAGGUAAAUUUCUUCUAAAGCUAAAUACCGGCCAGAGACCGAUAGCGCACAAGUAGAGUGAUCGAAAGAUGAAAAGCACUUUGAAAAGAGGGUUAAACAGCACGUGAAAUUGUUGAAAGGGAAGCGCUUGUGACCAGACUUGCGCCAGGCUGAUCAUCCGGUGUUCUCACCGGUGCACUCGGCCCGGCACAGGCCAGCAUCGGUUCUCGCGGGGGGAUAAAGGUCUCGGGAACGUAGCUCCUCCGGGAGUGUUAUAGCCCGGGGCGUAAUGCCCUCCGCGGGGACCGAGGUUCGCGCAUCUGCAAGAUGCGCUAGACGGCUU